RNAcentral lists this ribosomal RNA (253 nucleotides) under uncultured bacterium. Its description in RNAcentral is "partial 16S ribosomal RNA". It matches the Rfam family "Bacterial small subunit ribosomal RNA", at positions 524 to 776 of the family's 1533-position model. The record is from RNAcentral.
UACGUAGGGUGCGAGCGUUAAUCGGAAUUACUGGGCGUAAAGCGUGCGCAGGCGGUUGGUUAAGUCUGAUGUGAAAGCCCCGGGCUCAACCUGGGAAUGGCAUUGGAAACUGGCUGGCUAGAGUGCGGCAGAGGGGGGUGGAAUUCCGCGUGUAGCAGUGAAAUGCGUAGAGAUGCGGAGGAACACCGAUGGCGAAGGCAGCCCCCUGGGCUGACACUGACGCUCAGGCACGAAAGCGUGGGGAGCAAACAGG